Molecule: long non-coding RNA, 452 nt
Organism: Oncorhynchus keta (chum salmon)
Lineage: Eukaryota; Metazoa; Chordata; Actinopteri; Salmoniformes; Salmonidae
Exons: 3
Source: RefSeq, a predicted model, not a curated record
GGACAGUGUGUUAGCAGGGUUCCACGCUACACACUCCAGCUGAGAGGCCAUCUGGUACAAGUUAUCACUGGGGAAAACACACACAGACAGAAAGAUCACAGGUUAUCACUGAGGAAAACACACAGACCGAAAGAUCACAGGUUAUCACUGAGGAAAACACACACAGACCGAAAGAUCACAGGUUAUCACUGAGGAAAACACACACAGACCGAAAGAUCACAGGUUAUCACUGAGGAAAACACACACAGACCGAAAGAUCACAGGUUAUCACUGAGGAAAACACACACAGACCGAAAGAUCACAGGUUAUCACUGAGGAAAACACACACAGACCGAAAGAUCACAGGUUAUCACUGAGGAAAACACACACAGACCGAAAGAUCACAGGUUAUCACUGAGGAAAACACACACAGACCGAAAGAUCACAGGUUAUCACUGAGGAAAACACACACA